AUGAACGUUGGCGGCGUGCCUAAUAUAUGCAAGUCGAGCGAACAGACGAGGAGCUUGCUCCUCUGACGUUAGCGGCGGACGGGUGAGUAACACGUGGAUAACCUACCUAUAAGACUGGGAUAACUUCGGGAAACCGGAGCUAAUACCGGAUAAUAUAUUGAACCGCAUGGUUCAAUAGUGAAAGACGGUUUUGCUGUCACUUAUAGAUGGAUCCGCGCCGCAUUAGCUAGUUGGUAAGGUAACGGCUUACCAAGGCAACGAUGCGUAGCCGACCUGAGAGGGUGAUCGGCCACACUGGAACUGAGACACGGUCCAGACUCCUACGGGAGGCAGCAGUAGGGAAUCUUCCGCAAUGGGCGAAAGCUUGACGGAGCAACGCCGCGUGAGUGAUGAAGGUCUUCGGAUCGUAAAACUCUGUUAUUAGGGAAGAACAAAUGUGUAAGUAACUAUGCACGUCUUGACGGUACCUAAUCAGAAAGCCACGGCUAACUACGUG
RNAcentral lists this ribosomal RNA (496 nucleotides) under uncultured bacterium. RNAcentral's name for it is "partial 16S ribosomal RNA". It matches the Rfam family "Bacterial small subunit ribosomal RNA", at positions 29 to 507 of the family's 1533-position model. The record is from RNAcentral.